RNAcentral lists this long non-coding RNA (366 nucleotides) under Panax ginseng (ginseng). RNAcentral's name for it is "long non-coding RNA (PGIN_LNC010263)". The record is from RNAcentral. Lineage: Eukaryota; Viridiplantae; Streptophyta; Magnoliopsida; Apiales; Araliaceae.
AUCGCAUAAACUGACUUAUCCCAUAGGCCUCAGAGAAAACAAGCAACUUAACAAAACAAAUUAUCAAAACCAAUCCACAAUUACGUAUUAAUUCUCAAUUCUUGAACAACUAUUACUGGUAUAGCGUGCGUGUGUGAACAACAUCUAAGAUAACUGAUAAGGACCCAAAUUCAAUACAUAAACAACUUCUUAGAAGGAAUCAUACAGUGCAAACUCAAAAAUCUCAAAGAUAGGCACGAUUCAACUAAAAUUAAACUCAAUCAAAUUCAAGGGUACAUGCAUGAUACUUAUACUUUCUUUUCUUCCUUCUCUUUUUUUUUCUUUUUUUACACGGGGGCUUUUUGCUCUUUUCCCAUGAUUACUUCC